RNAcentral lists this non-coding RNA (163 nucleotides) under Paramoeba aestuarina. Lineage: Eukaryota; Discosea; Flabellinia; Dactylopodida; Paramoebidae. The record is from RNAcentral.
AUGUCGGGUUUGGUCUCGUUGGUCUUGGUUUUGGUUUUGGUCAUCCCGGUGGUCUUGGUGUCGUCGGUUUGGGACAUGUCGAUUCUUGGUCUUGUCGGUCUUGGUCAUCUCGAUCUCGGUCUUCUCUCCUGGAAUUCCAAUCUCUUUUUCGUUUUCUGCCUUG